This 1123-nucleotide ribosomal RNA is filed under the name Shigella sonnei. RNAcentral's name for it is "partial 23S ribosomal RNA". It matches the Rfam family "Bacterial large subunit ribosomal RNA", at positions 296 to 1428 of the family's 2925-position model. Lineage: Bacteria; Pseudomonadati; Pseudomonadota; Gammaproteobacteria; Enterobacterales; Enterobacteriaceae. The record is from RNAcentral.
GCCCAGAGCCUGAAUCAGUGUGUGUGUUAGUGGAAGCGUCUGGAAAGGCGUGCGAUACAGGGUGACAGCCCCGUACACAAAAAUGCACAUAUUGUGAGCUUGAUGAGUAGGGCGGGACACGUGGUAUCCUGUCUGAAUAUGGGGGGACCAUCCUCCAAGGCUAAAUACUCCUGACUGACCGAUAGUGAACCAGUACCGUGAGGGAAAGGCGAAAAGAACCCCGGCGAGGGGAGUGAAAAAGAACCUGAAACCGUGUACGUACAAGCAGUGGGAGCACGCUUAGGCGUGUGACUGCGUACCUUUUGUAUAAUGGGUCAGCGACUUAUAUUCUGUAGCAAGGUUAACCGAAUAGGGGAGCCGAAGGGAAACCGAGUCUUAACUGGGCGUUAAGUUGCAGGGUAUAGACCCGAAACCCGGUGAUCUAGCCAUGGGCAGGUUGAAGGUUGGGUAACACUAACUGGAGGACCGAACCGACUAAUGUUGAAAAAUUAGCGGAUGACUUGUGGCUGGGGGUGAAAGGCCAAUCAAACCGGGAGAUAGCUGGUUCUCCCCGAAAGCUAUUUAGGUAGCGCCUCGUGAAUUCAUCUCCGGGGGUAGAGCACUGUUUCGGCAAGGGGGUCAUCCCGACUUACCAACCCGAUGCAAACUGCGAAUACCGGAGAAUGUUAUCACGGGAGACACACGGCGGGUGCUAACGUCCGUCGUGAAGAGGGAAACAACCCAGACCGCCAGCUAAGGUCCCAAAGUCAUGGUUAAGUGGGAAACGAUGUGGGAAGGCCCAGACAGCCAGGAUGUUGGCUUAGAAGCAGCCAUCAUUUAAAGAAAGCGUAAUAGCUCACUGGUCGAGUCGGCCUGCGCGGAAGAUGUAACGGGGCUAAACCAUGCACCGAAGCUGCGGCAGCGACGCUUAUGCGUUGUUGGGUAGGGGAGCGUUCUGUAAGCCUGCGAAGGUGUGCUGUGAGGCAUGCUGGAGGUAUCAGAAGUGCGAAUGCUGACAUAAGUAACGAUAAAGCGGGUGAAAAGCCCGCUCGCCGGAAGACCAAGGGUUCCUGUCCAACGUUAAUCGGGGCAGGGUGAGUCGACCCCUAAGGCGAGGCCGAAAGGCGUAGUCGAUGGGAAACAG